GAUGAACGCUGGCGGCGUGCCUAAUACAUGCAAGUCGAGCGAACGGACGAGAAGCUUGCUUCUCUGAUGUUAGCGGCGGACGGGUGAGUAACACGUGGAUAACCUACCUAUAAGACUGGGAUAACUUCGGGAAACCGGAGCUAAUACCGGAUAAUAUUUUGAACCGCAUGGUUCAAAAGUGAAAGACGGUCUUGCUGUCACUUAUAGAUGGAUCCGCGCUGCAUUAGCUAGUUGGUAAGGUAACGGCUUACCAAGGCAACGAUGCAUAGCCGACCUGAGAGGGUGAUCGGCCACACUGGAACUGAGACACGGUCCAGACUCCUACGGGAGGCAGCAGUAGGGAAUCUUACGCAAUGGGCGAAAGCCUGACGGAGCAACGCCGCGUGAGUGAUGAAGGUCUUCGGAUCGUAAAACUCUGUUAUUAGGGAAGAACAUAUGUGUAAGUAACUGUGCACAUCUUGACGGUACCGAAGCAGAAAGCCACGGCUAACUACGU
RNAcentral lists this ribosomal RNA (496 nucleotides) under uncultured bacterium. Its description in RNAcentral is "partial 16S ribosomal RNA". It matches the Rfam family "Bacterial small subunit ribosomal RNA", at positions 28 to 506 of the family's 1533-position model. The record is from RNAcentral.